RNAcentral lists this ribosomal RNA (431 nucleotides) under uncultured Sphingomonadaceae bacterium. RNAcentral describes it as "bacterial SSU rRNA". It matches the Rfam family "Bacterial small subunit ribosomal RNA", at positions 29 to 505 of the family's 1533-position model. Lineage: Bacteria; Pseudomonadati; Pseudomonadota; Alphaproteobacteria; Sphingomonadales; Sphingomonadaceae. The record is from RNAcentral.
AACGAACGCUGGCGGCAUGCCUAACACAUGCAAGUCGAACGAACCCUUCGGGGUGAGUGGCGCACGGGUGCGUAACGCGUGGGAAUCUGCCCUGGGGUGCGGAAUAACGUUUCGAAAGGAACGCUAAUACCGCAUAAUGACUUCGGUCCAAAGAUUUAUCGCCCUGGGAUGAGCCCGCGUAGGAUUAGCUAGUUGGUGAGGUAAAAGCUCACCAAGGCGACGAUCCUUAGCUGGUCUGAGAGGAUGAUCAGCCACACUGGGACUGAGACACGGCCCAGACUCCUACGGGAGGCAGCAGUGGGGAAUAUUGGACAAUGGGCGAAAGCCUGAUCCAGCAAUGCCGCGUGAGUGAUGAAGGCCUUAGGGUUGUAAAGCUCUUUUGCCAGGGAUGAUAAUGACAGUACCUGGAGAAUAAGCUCCGGCUAACUCCG